Molecule: ribosomal RNA, 183 nt
Filed under: uncultured bacterium
Lineage: Bacteria
Description: partial 16S ribosomal RNA
Rfam family: Bacterial small subunit ribosomal RNA
Source: RNAcentral
ACAUGAAGCUGGAAUCGCUAGUAAUCGCGAAUCAGAAUGUCGCGGUGAAUACGUUCCCGGGUCUUGUACACACCGCCCGUCACACCAUGGGAGUCGGAAAUGCCCAAAGUCAGUGACCUAACCGAAAGGGAGGAGCUGCCGAAGGUGGAGCCGGUAACCGGGGUGAAGUCGUAACAAGGUACC